Molecule: long non-coding RNA, 1019 nt
Organism: Aethina tumida (small hive beetle)
Lineage: Eukaryota; Metazoa; Arthropoda; Insecta; Coleoptera; Nitidulidae
Exons: 4
Source: RefSeq, a predicted model, not a curated record
AUCAACAGUAUUGCAAAACAUGCAGAGUGUCUCCAAAAAGAGAUUUAAAAAUAAUAUGUUUAUGUCAAUUCAUAGAUAUUUAUGACAUUGAGUAUACUAUAAAAUAGAAUUGUACACAAUGUAUUAACAAUUGCCAAAGAGAUUCUAGGUCCACAAACACGAAGUUGGCACUCAUAUGCAGAUGGAUCAAUUGUUAAAAGAAGAUAUUUAUACAAAAACAGUUGCACUUACGCUGACACCCUGAAAGCCCUUCCGAAACUGAUAAGCUAAAACAUCAGCAUUCCCGGUGGAUCUUCAAACUGGAGAAAAUGUUAAUUAAGCAUUAUUCGACAUCUUACCUGCGAUCCUUAGACUAAAACAUCUUUGGCAGAAUGCUUAAGUGAAGUAAAUAGAGUGGAAGGAGAAACUGAAUCUUCACUGCGAAUAGAAGAACAAAAUGCCGAAACAACAACAAUAUCUUACACUUUUGUGCAUCAUAUUUGUAAACAUCAAUCACAUACUUGACGAAGAUAUAACUUCACAUGGACAGAUAAUUAUUAAAAAACUAUUAUUUUAAAAUCUAACAAUCUAGAUGAAAAUGGCAUUAUCAAUCAAUUAAAUUCUUGGGAAGCCUUUAAUACUGGUACCAAAAGGAAAUUUAAAAAUUGAAACCGUAGUUAAACGAUUGACUGAUUCCAUUCCGAAAUGUUCGCAAACAAUACAAGAAUACAUUAUCUUGAAAAACAUCUUGAACGAAAGAUGAAGAAUGGGCGAGUGAGAAAGUAUAUAAAGAUAAUAGAAAUUAUUAAUUAAAUGAAGUUAAUAGUCAAACUUGGAAAUAGAGUAUACACCCUUUUAGCCGAUGUUAAAAGUGAUGAUAUAAUCCAUUUAAUUAAUAGUUUAAAUAGAUUUAAAGACAAAACAAUUCAAAUCUUUGAUGCUGCCCUAAGUCAACCUGAUAUUAUUUCAAUAGAAGAAACGAAUUCUAAAUCUAAACAACAUAUGGAAUAUGCUAUUGAGAUGACGAAUUCGAGGCACAU